GAUGAACGCUGACAGAAUGCUUAACACAUGCAAGUCAUUGGCGAAGCUGCGCUUGCGCAGUCUAGCCAAGGCGGACGGGUGAGUAACGCGUAAGGAACUUGCCCUGCAGACAGGGAUAACAGACGGAAACGACUGAUAACACCUGGUAUUGUCAGGCUGGCGCAUGCCGGCCUGAUGAAAGGAGACGCUGCAGGAGAGCCUUGCGUCCUAUUAGCUAGUUGGUGGGGUAACGGCCCACCAAGGCGAUGAUAGGUAGCCGGCCUGAGAGGGUGAACGGCCACAAGGGGACUGAGAUACGGCCCUUACGCCUACGGGAGGCAGCAGUGGGGAAUAUUGGACAAUGGGGGCAACCCCUGAUCCAGCAAUUCUGUGUGCACGAAGAAGGUUUUCGGAUUGUAAAGUGCUUUCAGCAGGGAAGAAGAAAGUGACGGUACCUGCAGAAGAAGCGACGGCUAAAUACGUG
RNAcentral lists this ribosomal RNA (463 nucleotides) under uncultured bacterium. RNAcentral describes it as "partial 16S ribosomal RNA". It matches the Rfam family "Bacterial small subunit ribosomal RNA", at positions 28 to 507 of the family's 1533-position model. The record is from RNAcentral.